GAGCGGCGAACGGGUGAGUAACACGUGAGCAACCUGCCCUUGGCUUUGGGAUAACCCUCGGAAACGGGGGCUAAUACCGGAUGCACACCUUCCAUCGCAUGGUGGUUGGUGGAAAGUUUUUCGGCCAGGGAUGGGCUCGCGGCCUAUCAGCUAGUUGGUGGGGUGAUGGCCCACCAAGGCGACGACGGGUAGCCGGCCUGAGAGGGCGACCGGCCACACUGGGACUGAGACACGGCCCAGACUCCUACGGGAGGCAGCAGUGGGGAAUAUUGCACAAUGGGCGAAAGCCUGAUGCAGCGACGCCGCGUGAGGGAUGACGGCCUUCGGGUUGUAAACCUCUUUCAGCAGGGACGAAGGGCAACUGACGGUACCUGCAGAAGAAGCGCCGGCCAACUACGUGCCAGCAGCCGCGGUAAGACGUAGGGCGCAAGCGUUGUCCGGAUUUAUUGGGCGUAAAGAGCUCGUAGGCGGCUUGUCGCGUCGACUGUGAAAACCCGCGGCUCAACCGUGUGGUCUGCAGUCGAUACGGGCAGGCUAGAGUUCGGUAGGGGAGACUGGAAUUCCUGGUGUAGCGGUGAAAUGCGCAGAUAUCAGGAGGAACACCGGUGGCGAAGGCGGGUCUCUGGGCCGAUAC
This 634-nucleotide ribosomal RNA is filed under the name uncultured bacterium. RNAcentral's name for it is "bacterial SSU rRNA". It matches the Rfam family "Bacterial small subunit ribosomal RNA", at positions 93 to 740 of the family's 1533-position model. The record is from RNAcentral.